This 315-nucleotide ribosomal RNA is filed under the name uncultured Atribacterota bacterium. RNAcentral's name for it is "bacterial SSU rRNA". It matches the Rfam family "Bacterial small subunit ribosomal RNA", at positions 1054 to 1382 of the family's 1533-position model. Lineage: Bacteria; Pseudomonadati; Atribacterota. The record is from RNAcentral.
GUCAGCUCGUGUCGUGAGAUGUUCGGUUAAGUCCGCUAACGAGCGCAACCCUCGCUGUGUGUUAUAUGUGUCACAUGGGACUGCCGGCCUUAAGCCGGAGGAAGGUGGGGAUGAUGUCAAGUCAGCAUGGCCUUUAUGUCCUGGGCUACACACACGCUACAAUGGUCAGCACAAUGGGUACGCUAAGCCGCAAGGUGGAGCCAAUCCUCAAAGUUGGCCUCAGUUCAGAUUGUAGGCUGCAACUCGCCUGCAUGAAGAUGGAGUUGCUAGUAAACGCAGGUCAGCUAUACUGCGUUGAAUACGUUCCCGGGGCUU